RNAcentral lists this long non-coding RNA (494 nucleotides) under Brachypodium distachyon (stiff brome). RNAcentral describes it as "long non-coding RNA (BDIS_LNC005249)". Lineage: Eukaryota; Viridiplantae; Streptophyta; Magnoliopsida; Poales; Poaceae. The record is from RNAcentral.
GCGCCAAUUAAUUAGGAACGGAGGGAGUGUUAUAUGACACCUUCAUAUCUAUUUUUUUUUAAUUUGGUCCUGCAUGUUAUAGUAGUAUUUGAUUCAGCUCGGUCGCCGUGCAAAUUUUCAACGGAACAGGGAUCCUACGAUGUCAAACUGUACCUAUCCCACACGCACCUAACCUUAUCCUCGGCAUGCAUUUGAAGUUUUGAACGGACCAUUAAUUUCUUUCUUUCUUUUUUCUGCGGGGGAACGGAUUAUAGAUUUCGUUCGAUCCAUCAGCAAGUGGCUAAUUGCGCCUUGUGAUCGAUAGCUCAGUUCGUGUCAUCGAUCAGCUCCUUCUGUUUAUUGAUAUGUGUGAAACGGUUAUAUUGGAUCAGAGGAGAUUGAAUUGAAGUACAACUUCGUUUUCGAUUGGCGAUAUCAAGUAGUACUGAAAUGAUUUAAUGUAAUUCAAAGGUUGAUUCCAACUUUUUGUAGGGCCCGUUUAUGCUGAACCAAGA